RNAcentral lists this ribosomal RNA (388 nucleotides) under Chlorodendrales sp. RNAcentral describes it as "partial small subunit ribosomal RNA". It matches the Rfam family "Eukaryotic small subunit ribosomal RNA", at positions 582 to 975 of the family's 1831-position model. The record is from RNAcentral. Lineage: Eukaryota; Viridiplantae; Chlorophyta; Chlorodendrophyceae; Chlorodendrales.
AUUCCAGCUCCAAUAGCGUAUGUUUAAGUUGUUGCAGUUAAAAAGCUCGUAGUUGGAUUUCGGAUGGGAUUUGCCGGUCCGCCUUUGAGGUGUGUACUGGUAGGUCCUAUCUUGUUGUCGGGGACUAGCUCCUGGGCUUCACUGUCCGGGACUAGGAGCCGACGAAGUUACUUUGAGUAAAUUAGAGUGUUCAAAGCAAGCCUACGCUCUGAAUAUAUUAGCAUGGAAUAACACGAUAGGACUCUGGCUUAUCUUGUUGGUCUGUGAGACCAGAGUAAUGAUUAAGAGGGACAGUCGGGGACAUUCGUAUUUCAUUGUCAGAGGUGAAAUUCUUGGAUUUAUGAAAGACGAACUUCUGCGAAAGCAUUUGUCAAGGAUGUUUUCAUCA